This 467-nucleotide long non-coding RNA is filed under the name Helianthus annuus (common sunflower). RNAcentral describes it as "hypothetical non coding rna". Lineage: Eukaryota; Viridiplantae; Streptophyta; Magnoliopsida; Asterales; Asteraceae. The record is from RNAcentral.
UUUUUUUUUUUUUUUUGACUUCCUAAAUCUAUGAAAAGCGUUAAACUACUAACCUAGUUUACUACACCAAAGUCCUAACCGGGAACUUAAAUUAUCUAUAUAGAUCUAAGACACACGUACAGCAGAAACUUAACAUGGAAAUCUAGCUAUAUUUCAUACCUACAUAAAACUAUUCACUAUCUAUCGGUUCUAAUUAGCAUUCCAAUCUUUGCAACAGCCUCUUCAAAUCCCAAACCUAACCCAAAUGUCCAUAUAGCACAUGUAACACAAUCGAUAAUUCCUUGAAAUCGGUAACAAGAAUGAGAUCGGAAGUCCAUUGUUUAUUCCAGAAAACCGAGCUCAAAACCUGGAUGCAGAUUACGAUCAUGUAAUUUGCGAUUGUGAAUUAAAGUGGCUUAUGAAUAUGAAUGAAUUAUAAGUUAGAAUUAGGUUUUUUUGUUGUUAAUAUGGAGGAAUAAUAAUCGGAU